CUAUCCGCCGGUCGGCAGCAGCAGCAGCAGCGGGCAGGCCAGCCAGCCAGCCAGGCAGCUGCAGCAGCAGCAGCAGCAGCGAGAGCUCGCCUGGCCGCGGGAGGCAGGCCAGCAGUGUCUUGGGCCGCGCCGCACACGCUACACACAACACCGUCGCGGCGCGCACUACCGCACGCCCCUCGCCGGGGGAUUUCGCCCCAAAUUUGCUCGAACUGUGUCUCCAGUCUCUCGUCACACCGUCCCACUGUGCUGUGCCGGGAAUAGUUUUUACAAAAAGUGUCCUGCCCCGCCCCGCCCGACAGGUGAAGUUGGGGCGUGGGCAUAGCUGCGCGUUGCCUCGGCGCUCUCCUCCGAGCAUUGACUAGCAUGGAAAUAAUGCAGCAGCAAAGUUCGAGUCCUUUAGACGGCCGUUGGCGAGGGCACGUUCCCCUGCCCUACGCGGCGCAUGGCAUGGCACUGCCCACCCUCAACCCUCUCAGGCAACACCAGACACAACAGCCGCAGCGGCCACACCACCACCUGCACCCCCAGCAGCAGCAUCAACACCACCCCCCCCAGCAACAACAGCAAGAACAGCAACAACAACAACAACAACAACAACAACAGCAGCAGCAGUUGCAGCUACAACAGCACCUCCAGCAGCAGCACAGGCACCCUCGGCAUUCCCGGCCACAGCUGGCGGAGGCGGGAUCCUCGCGGGAUCACCAGCCCUCCAGCUCCUCUACUUCUUCCUCCUCGUCGUCCACGUCCUCGCACAGCCUCCACUCCUCGCCACAGCCCUCCCCUCACGCCCCUGCGCCAGGGAAGAGUGGGGGCAACAAGGAGGAGGGGGAGAAGAAGGAGGGGGGCGAAUGGGAACAGUACAAUGCAGGGGCGGCCUUUUUGGGGCCUACUCUAUGGGACAAGACCAUCUCCUAUGACUCCGACCUUAAGUUGGAGUACAUGGAUCUUGAUGAAUUCCUGAAUGAAAACGGGAUUCCCAUAGAGGAGGCCAGUAAGGCUAUGAGGGGUGCCGGCGGCGGUGGCGGCGUCGGUGCUCACGCGGGCGCCGCCGCUGCCACCACCACCAAGAGCGGGGGCGACGCUGACCUCACCAGCCCCACGGCGAGUGUCAGCCCCGAGGCCGCGUCACCGUCCUCCCCUGAUGGCACACCGAUGGGCCUGGGGGUGGUGCCGCAGGGCCCGCCCCCGCCAAUCACCCACCCCGCCCCGCCUCAGGUCGCCGCCCCCGGCACCCCCGCGCCGCCGCCCCCUCAUAGCGCCCCGCCCCCCUGCCUCUCCCCCGACAUGAUGGAUGAGUACAGCUCCUCAGACUCUGGAAGCCCCCACUCACCCGCCCUUCAGGUCCACGAAGGAGAUGCAGUUCGAGCAAGUCUGGGGCGGGACAGUAAUAAGGCUCGCGUAGGAGGUGAAGGUGUUGGAGGAGGAGGAGAAGGAUUUGUGGGCCAGUGUAAGCUCUCCGCACCCAAGCCCGACAAGGGGGAGCACGCCGGACUGAGCAUUGACUUCGAGGUGUCCCCUAACGAUUUAGCACUUGCCACAGUACCUGGGCAGGACUUUGAUCCACGCACCCGCUGCUUCUCCGAGGAAGAGCUGAAGCCGCAGCCGAUGAUUAAGAAGAGCCGCAAGCAGGUGGGUAACGAAGAAACGGACAAGUUUGUCCCAAUGGAGAUGAAGGAUGAGAAGUACUGGGCUCGCCGCCGCAAAAAUAACAUGGCAGCCAAGCGCUCCCGCGAUGCCCGGCGACUCAAGGAGAACCAGAUUGCCAUGCGAGCCAACUUUCUGGAGAAGGAGAAUGAUGCGCUGACUUCCGAGCUGCAGAAGGCACAGGCAGUGGUGGAGGCCCUCAAGAAGCGGCUGGCCGUGUAUGAGGUGGUCUAGCCUCCUCUAACCUCUACCUCCACCAUUACAACAACCACUCCACUCCACCACUCCCCCUCUGCCAGGAACCUUGCCCUGCGGCGGGAGUUGGAGAACGUGGCACGGAAAGUGGACCUCCUCAAGACUCGCCUUGGCAAGUAUGAGGAAGUGUGAGUGUAUGGUGUUGCGUUGUGCUGGACCCCACCACAGCCGCCCCACCACCACCACACCGCCACCACCACCGCCAUCACCACCACCUACAAUGCCACCUCCACCUCCAUCGCCACAGUCACCACGACCACCACCACCUCCACCCUACUCAGGAUAGGUUCUCCUCACUCAUUUCAGUGUAUGUAAAUUAGUUGGGUUUUAAGUGUAGAGUAUAAUGAGAAAACAGAUGAUACAAUAAUCUAUAUAUAUAAAAGAAAUAUAAAUAGAUAUAUAUUCAUAAAUAUUAUAUAAAUACCUCAAUGUUUGGUAAUAAUAUUGACCGUCACGAUGACAACGUGUGUGCAUGUGUGUGUCAGUCUGCCCUGGGGUGGGGUGGCACCUUCCCUGGGGCAGCAAGCACCCUCCCUCGUGCAAACCUGGGGAUGUGUUCUGUACAUUAGAUAAAACUUAUAUUGUGGGUGUGUCAGCAGGUCAGUGGGGCCAGUGAGUCAUGGGAGCAUCAGACAUUCUCACCCCUCCCUGCCCUUCCAGCCUCUUUACUGUUGGGUGUGUGGGGGUGGUGAUGGGGGUGGGGGUGGGGGAGGGUGGUGGUGGGGGCUGCCUCCGUGCACCUCCCUCACACAUCGCCACACGCACCGUGCCCGCCACCAACAGUGAACCUGAAGGAAGGGCAAAAGCACUGAUGGCUAGUCCACAGUUGUUAUACAUAUUACAUAUGUAGUACAUAUAUAUAUUUUUCCUGCCUACCUACAUACAUACAUAGUGGAUUGGAAGGGCUUAGUGUCUAUAAUUUGUUUAUUAAUUUUUACAACUAACAGAAGUCCCAUAUUGCCUGGUUCUGUUUACAUUUUGCAUUAUUUUUACUUCAGAGGACAUUUUUUAGGGAAGCUCAGUCCAUAUUUUAACUUACUGUCCUUGUUCAUUUAGGCACCUAACCCCUAUUUAUAUUUUAUCUGGAGGUCUAUUUUUUUAAUGAAAUGCAGACCACAUUUUAGCCAGAGAUCCUCUUGUAAGUAAAUUCUGUCUGCUUGUCAGUCACAGGGUCUCUAUGAGUGAGCCAAGUUUAUAUUUUAACAGAAGGUUCUCAUUUUUUGUAAUCCCAGUCCAGAUUUUAACUGCAUAUCCAUUUAAGUCUAAGCCUCUUUCAGCUCUACAAAAUUAAUAAGAAUUGGAAGAGCCUAAAUGGCUAUAAAUGCAGAGCCAGAGCUUUUUGAGGGACUUCUUAGGGCCACACAAAAAGACAACUUGAGCAACAACUUGAGAGGGUUGGUUGGCCAAGUACUGGAGAUGGGCAGCAGACAGGCCAGGGCAAGGCUGCUGCCACCUGUAUUCUUAGGACUUACAGGGUGGCAAAUAUUGUUUAAUUCACUGGCUGAUCAGUUUAAGUUUACUUCAUUCCUUUUGAUGUACUAAUAUGGCCAAGUCUCUUCUGUGCUGCACUGAUUCACAAACACCUUUACCAUGGUGAAGACUGUUUUGUUUUCAGUGUUUUGCACCUUCAUGGUCAUCCAAGGUGACUAAAACUGUGGUUACAAUCUGUACCAGUGUUUUGACUAAGAUCACCUACUUCACUAUCCUGUUUUUCAGUCUAGUUUAUAAUACCAAUUCUACAGUCUGAAUAGUCUUAAAAUUCCAUAACAAACCAUUGAGCUGCCUUAACAUAACUCUCCAGAGCCUAUCACAGUGGCCAUCAGUACCUGCCUGUCUGUCUGCCCCCUCCUAGAGAGAUGAUAAAAAAAAUUGCAGUGUCAAUGAAGGCACUGCUGUGAUAUCCCUCAGCCCACCAUCCCAUGCUGUGUGGUCAGGGCACUGUAGGGUGGGCCUGCCGUUGCCCCAGUAACUCCUCUGUCAACAUGAUAAAUUCAAAACAUCAAGAACUUAACUUGUAGCAGUGUAUAUAUCUACCCCGGCUGUUGCAGAGGAGCAGAGUGGGCGCCAUGGCAGGGGUGUGGGCUGGGGGGUCCUGCAGGGGAGCGGUGGUCUCCUCCCCUGUUCUAAUUGGUUCCUGUAAUAUACUGUUGAUCAACUUGCCCCGAGAAUUUUAUUAUUUUUUGAAGACUUAUUGUAAUGAUGAUAAUAUUACAUAGUGAUGCUUGCUCAAUUUAUCCUGUUGGUCAAUUUGUACAGUUUACUUAGGUAUUGGAAAAAUAAUAAUAAUACAUACAGAAAGAAGUUAUAUAUUUUUUGGUGAGAGCUUGUAUAUUAUAUCUUAAAAACCACAAUAAAAAUAAGUAAAAAAAAAUAUAAUUAUAUCUAUAAUGCUGAUAAACAAAUCUGAUAACGAUGUACAAGAAACUUUUCUGUUAUAUAGCCAUUUUAUCCGUAGGUCUAGUUGGUUAGUCGUUAGGGUUCCUGCAGGUAUUAUUAUUGUUUUGUUGUGUACAUACAAGCGUAGCGUAAUUAAAAAAAAGUUUUGAGUGUCGGCAUAACGAAUGAAUGUUCCGUCGUGAUCGAUUAUGUUGCGUUAUGGCCACCGUCGUGUGUGUCCUUCUGUCUAUAGCCUUCACUGCCUCGGUCCUUCCAACACCAACACCACACCGUCACCUCCUCCACUCCCACCACCACUUGAAGCCUUUUCCUCACUGUUUGUAUUAUUCAUAUUAUUAUUAUUAUACUAUUUUUCCAGACUUUUAUUUGUUAUAUUGUUUCUUUUGCAUUUUUUCUUAGCCUGUGACUCACUCUAAAGAUGUUAUGUAAAGUGUAACACAAGAAA
This is an RNA transcript of Eriocheir sinensis (Chinese mitten crab), 4744 nucleotides long. It is a transcript of the gene named hepatic leukemia factor-like, with no coding region annotated. Lineage: Eukaryota; Metazoa; Arthropoda; Malacostraca; Decapoda; Varunidae. The transcript is spliced from 7 exons. The record is from RefSeq and is a predicted model, not a curated record.